GGAAUAUAUUAAUCUUGCUGCUAUGAGCCCAGAUGGUGUAGAUGAAAUACUAGAUGAGAAACUGGCAGGAGAGUGCAACAUUGAAGAAGUGAGGGAACUAGCUGCCAUUGCUCACAAAUGCUUGCAAAAAUCACAAAGGAAGCGACCUUCAAUAGGAGAAGUUUCACAGGCUAUAUCAAAGAUAAAACAAAGGCCCCUUGUUAAGGAAGACACCAUGUCUUUUGCCAGUCAAGAUUUUUCAAGAGUUUUAAGCAGGAUAGAGGAUCAGCAUGUGGAGUUGAGUAAGAUGACCAGCAUUAAAGAGAGC
This 307-nucleotide unclassified non-coding RNA is filed under the name Hevea brasiliensis (rubber tree). The record is from RNAcentral. Lineage: Eukaryota; Viridiplantae; Streptophyta; Magnoliopsida; Malpighiales; Euphorbiaceae.